GGCCACGUGGUAUAGUGGCUAGGAUACCUGGCUUUCACCCAGGCGCCCGGGUUCAAUUCCCGGCGUGGGAACCA
Molecule: transfer RNA, 74 nt
Filed under: Cordylochernes scorpioides
Lineage: Eukaryota; Metazoa; Arthropoda; Arachnida; Pseudoscorpiones; Chernetidae
Description: tRNA-Glu
Rfam family: tRNA (bases 3-68)
About the family: Transfer RNA (tRNA) molecules are approximately 80 nucleotides in length. Their secondary structure includes four short double-helical elements and three loops (D, anti-codon, and T loops).
Source: RNAcentral